RNAcentral lists this ribosomal RNA (1035 nucleotides) under Halomonas cupida. Its description in RNAcentral is "bacterial SSU rRNA". It matches the Rfam family "Bacterial small subunit ribosomal RNA", at positions 20 to 1042 of the family's 1533-position model. The record is from RNAcentral. Lineage: Bacteria; Pseudomonadati; Pseudomonadota; Gammaproteobacteria; Oceanospirillales; Halomonadaceae.
UGGCUCAGAUUGAACGCUGGCGGCAGGCCUAACACAUGCAAGUCGAGCGGAAACGAUGGAAGCUUGCUUCCAGGCGUCGAGCGGCGGACGGGUGAGUAAUGCAUGGGAAUCUGCCCGAUAGUGGGGGAUAACCUGGGGAAACCCAGGCUAAUACCGCAUACGUCCUACGGGAGAAAGCAGGGGAUCUUCGGACCUUGCGCUAUCGGAUGAGCCCAUGUCGGAUUAGCUUGUUGGUGGGGUAAUGGCCUACCAAGGCGACGAUCCGUAGCUGGUCUGAGAGGAUGAUCAGCCACAUCGGGACUGAGACACGGCCCGAACUCCUACGGGAGGCAGCAGUGGGGAAUAUUGGACAAUGGGCGAAAGCCUGAUCCAGCCAUGCCGCGUGUGUGAAGAAGGCCUUCGGGUUGUAAAGCACUUUCAGUGAGGAAGAAUGCCUCUGGCUUAAUACGUCAGAGGGAAGACAUCACUCACAGAAGAAGCACCGGCUAACUCCGUGCCAGCAGCCGCGGUAAUACGGAGGGUGCGAGCGUUAAUCGGAAUUACUGGGCGUAAAGCGCGCGUAGGUGGCUUGAUAAGCCGGUUGUGAAAGCCCCGGGGUCAACCUGGGAAUGGCAUCCGGAACUGUCAGGCUAGAGUGCAGGAGAGGAAGGUAGAAUUCCCGGUGUAGCGGUGAAAUGCGUAGAGAUCGGGAGGAAUACCAGUGGCGAAGGCGGCCUUCUGGACUGACACUGACACUGAGGUGCGAAAGCGUGGGUAGCAAACAGGAUUAGAUACCCUGGUAGUCCACGCCGUAAACGAUGUCGACUACCCGCUGGGCUCCUUGAGAGCUUUGUGGCGCAAUUAACGCGAUAAGUCGACCGCCUGGGGAGUACGGCCGCCAGGUUAAAACUCAAAUGAAUUGACGGGGGCCCGCACAAGCGGUGGAGCAUGUGGUUUAAUUCGAUGCAACGCGAAGAACCUUACCUACCGCUUGGUACUUGCUGAGGCCUCUUUCCAGAGAUGGAUUGGGCCUUCGGGAACUCUCAGACAGGUGCU